UACAGAGGUCUCAAGCGUUGUUCGGAUUCAUUGGGCGUAAAGGGUGCGUAGGCGGCGCGGUAAGUCGGGUGUGAAAUCUCGGAGCUUAACUCCGAAACUGCAUUCGAUACUGCCGUGCUUGAGGACUGGAGAGGAGACUGGAAUUUACGGUGUAGCGGUGAAAUGCGUAGAUAUCGUAAGGAAGACCAGUGGCGAAGGCGGGUCUCUGGACAGUUCCUGACGCUGAGGCACGAAAGGUCAGGGGAGCAAACGGG
RNAcentral lists this ribosomal RNA (254 nucleotides) under uncultured bacterium. Its description in RNAcentral is "partial 16S ribosomal RNA". It matches the Rfam family "Bacterial small subunit ribosomal RNA", at positions 524 to 776 of the family's 1533-position model. The record is from RNAcentral.